RNAcentral lists this unclassified non-coding RNA (203 nucleotides) under uncultured fungus. RNAcentral describes it as "partial contains 18S rRNA, ITS1 and 5.8S rRNA". Lineage: Eukaryota; Fungi. The record is from RNAcentral.
UGGUGAACCGGCGGAGGGAUCAUUACCGAGUUUACAACUCCCAAACCCCUGUGAACAUACCUAUACGUUGCCUCGGCGGAUCAGCCCGCGCCCUGUAAAAAGGGACGGCCCGCCCGAGGACCCUAAACUCUGUUUUUAGUGGAACUUCUGAGUAAAACAAACAAAUAAAUCAAAACUUUCAACAACGGAUCUCUUGGUUCUGG